GUGGGGAAUAUUGGACAAUGGGCGCAAGCCUGAUCCAGCAAUGCCGCGUGGGUGAAGAAGGUCUUCGGAUCGUAAGGCCCUUUCGACAGGGACGAUGAUGACGGUACCUGUAGAAGAAGCCCCGGCUAACUUCGUGCCAGCAGCCGCGGUAAUACGAAGGGGGCUAGCGUUACUCGGAAUUACUGGGCGUAAAGGGCGCGUAGGCGGCUCUGUUAGUCAGGCGUGAAAUUCCUGGGCUUAACCUGGGGACUGCGCUUGAUACUGCAGAGCUAGAGGCCGACAGAGGGUGGUGGAAUUCCCAGUGUAGAGGUGAAAUUCGUAGAUAUUAGGAAGAACCCCGGUGGCGAAGGCGACCACCUGGCUCGGUUCUGACGCUGAGGCGCGACAGCGUGGGGAGCAAACAGGAUUAGAUACCCCUGUAGUCC
This 425-nucleotide ribosomal RNA is filed under the name uncultured bacterium. RNAcentral describes it as "partial 16S ribosomal RNA". It matches the Rfam family "Bacterial small subunit ribosomal RNA", at positions 354 to 796 of the family's 1533-position model. The record is from RNAcentral.